AACGAACGCUGGCGGCGCGCCUAAUACAUGCAAGUCGAGCGAGAAGACGUAGCAAUACGUUUGUAAAGCGGCGAACGGGUGAGGAAUACAUGGGUAACCUACCCUCGAGUGGGGAAUAACUAGCCGAAAGGUUAGCUAAUACCGCGUACGCUCCUUGGACUUCGGUUCAGGGAGGAAAGCGAUACCGUGGGUAUCGCGCUCUUGGAUGGGGCUCAUGUCCUAUCAGCUUGUUGGUGAGGAACGGCUCACCAAGGCUUCGACGGGUAGCUGGUCUGAGAGGACGAUCAGCCACACUGGCACUGCGACACGGGCCAGACUCCUACGGGAGGCAGCAGUAAGG
This 340-nucleotide ribosomal RNA is filed under the name uncultured bacterium. RNAcentral describes it as "bacterial SSU rRNA". It matches the Rfam family "Bacterial small subunit ribosomal RNA", at positions 29 to 359 of the family's 1533-position model. The record is from RNAcentral.